Molecule: ribosomal RNA, 483 nt
Filed under: uncultured bacterium
Lineage: Bacteria
Description: partial 16S ribosomal RNA
Rfam family: Bacterial small subunit ribosomal RNA
Source: RNAcentral
AUUGAACGCUGGCGGCAGGCCUAACACAUGCAAGUCGAGCGGAUGAAGGGAGCUUGCUCCUGGAUUCAGCGGCGGACGGGUGAGUAAUGCCUAGGAAUCUGCCUGGUAGUGGGGGAUAACGUCCGGAAACGGGCGCUAAUACCGCAUACGUCCUGAGGGGGAAAGUGGGGGAUCUUCGGACCUCACGCUAUCAGAUGAGCCUAGGUCGGAUUAGCUAGUUGGUGGGGUAAAGGCCUACCAAGGCGACGAUCCGUAACUGGUCUGAGAGGAUGAUCAGUCACACUGGAACUGAGACACGGUCCAGACUCCUACGGGAGGCAGCAGUGGGGAAUAUUGGACAAUGGGCGAAAGCCUGAUCCAGCCAUGCCGCGGGUGUGAAGAAGGUCUUCGGAUUGUAAAGCACUUUAAGUUGGGAGGAAGGGCAGUAAGUUAAUACCUUGCUGUUUUGACGUUACCAACAGAAUAAGCACCGGCUAACUUCGU